UACGGGAGGCAGCAGUGGGGAAUAUUGCACAAUGGGCGCAAGCCUGAUGCAGCCAUGCCGCGUGUAUGAAGAAGGCCUUCGGGUUGUAAAGUACUUUCAGUCGUGAGGAAGGUGUUAAGGUUAAUAACCUUAGCAAUUGACGUUAGCGACAGAAGAAGCACCGGCUAACUCCGUGCCAGCAGCCGCGGUAAUACGGAGGGUGCGAGCGUUAAUCGGAAUUACUGGGCGUAAAGGGCACGCAGGCGGUUAAUUAAGUUGGAUGUGAAAUCCCCGGGCUUAACCUGGGAAUGGCAUUCAAGACUGGUUAGCUAGAGUCUUGUAGAGGGGGUAGAAUUCCAUGUGUAGCGGUGAAAUGCGUAGAGAUGUGGAGGAAUACCGGUGGCGAAGGCGGCCCCUGGACAAAGACUGACGCUCAUGUGCGAAAGCGUGGGGAGCAAACAGGGAUUUAGAUACC
Molecule: ribosomal RNA, 454 nt
Filed under: uncultured bacterium
Lineage: Bacteria
Description: bacterial SSU rRNA
Rfam family: Bacterial small subunit ribosomal RNA
Source: RNAcentral